RNAcentral lists this ribosomal RNA (482 nucleotides) under uncultured bacterium. RNAcentral's name for it is "bacterial SSU rRNA". It matches the Rfam family "Bacterial small subunit ribosomal RNA", at positions 30 to 506 of the family's 1533-position model. The record is from RNAcentral.
UUGAGCGCUGGCGGCAUGCCUUACACAUGCAAGUCGAACGGCAGCACGGGAGCAAUCCUGGUGGCGAGUGGCGAACGGGUGAGUAACAUAUCGGAACGUGCCCAGUAAUGGGGGAUAGCCCGGCGAAAGCCGGAUUAAUACCGCAUACGACCUACGGGUGAAAGCGGGGGAUCGCAAGACCUCGCGUUAUUGGAGCGGCCGAUAUCAGAUUAGCUUGUUGGCGGGGUAAAAGCCCACCAAGGCGACGAUCUGUAGCUGGUCUGAGAGGACGACCAGCCACACUGGGACUGAGACACGGCCCAGACUCCUACGGGAGGCAGCAGUGGGGAAUUUUGGACAAUGGGCGCAAGCCUGAUCCAGCCAUGCCGCGUGUGGGAAGAAGGCCUUCGGGUUGUAAACCACUUUUGUCAGGGAAGAAACGGCUCUUACUAAUAUUAGGAGCUAAUGACGGUACCUGAAGAAUAAGCACCGGCUAACUACGU